RNAcentral lists this small RNA (306 nucleotides) under Castor canadensis (American beaver). RNAcentral's name for it is "7SK RNA (ENSCCNG00000006374.1)". It matches the Rfam family "7SK RNA". Rfam says of the family: 7SK was discovered as an abundant small nuclear RNA in the mid-70s but a possible function has only recently been suggested. Two independent studies have found that 7SK RNA binds the CDK9/cyclin T complex (known as elongation factor P-TEFb). The record is from RNAcentral. Lineage: Eukaryota; Metazoa; Chordata; Mammalia; Rodentia; Castoridae.
GGAUGUGAGGGCCAUCUGGCUGUGACAACACUGAUCACCAGGGUUGAUUCGGCUGAUCUGGCUGACUAGAUGGGUGUCCGCUUCCUCCCUCAGCUCUCCAUCGGAGUCCUCCUGAAGCUACACACUCAGUAGCAGAGGAUGACCUUCCUUGUUGACCGUUCUUUGGUCAAGGGUAUCUGAGUAGCUGUGUCCCCUCAAGGUAACUAUGACUUUGGGGAUGAAGUUUCAACAUGAAUUAUGAGGAAACAGACACCUAGACCAUGGCACAUCUUUACAGUAAAAGCACUAAGCAUUUGUGGGAAGUGU